UGAUAUUCUCACAAAUCAUUCAUGCAUA
This 28-nucleotide small RNA is filed under the name Bombyx mori (domestic silkworm). RNAcentral's name for it is "ovarian small RNA-8301". Lineage: Eukaryota; Metazoa; Arthropoda; Insecta; Lepidoptera; Bombycidae. The record is from RNAcentral.